Molecule: ribosomal RNA, 253 nt
Filed under: uncultured bacterium
Lineage: Bacteria
Description: partial 16S ribosomal RNA
Rfam family: Bacterial small subunit ribosomal RNA
Source: RNAcentral
UACGUAGGGUGCGAGCGUUAAUCGGAAUUACUGGGCGUAAAGCGUGCGCAGGCGGUUUUGUAAGCCAGAUGUGAAAUCCCCGGGCUUAACCUGGGAAUGGCAUUUGGGACUGCAAGGCUGGAGUGUGGCAGAGGAGACUGGAAUUCAUGGUGUAGCAGUGAAAUGCGUAGAGAUCAUGAGGAAGACCAGUGGCGAAGGCGGGUCUCUGGACAGUUCCUGACACUGAGACACGAAGGCCAGGGGAGCAAACGGG